GUUGGAUCCUGCUGGAAAGUCAAUGAAGCUUGCAUUUGAUGUUUUCCCUCAAUUUGGGGUACUAGAGGGGAAAUUCGGUGGAACAA
RNAcentral lists this non-coding RNA (86 nucleotides) under Heterosigma akashiwo. Lineage: Eukaryota; Raphidophyceae; Chattonellales; Chattonellaceae. The record is from RNAcentral.